This 457-nucleotide small RNA is filed under the name Malus domestica (apple). Its description in RNAcentral is "sRNA MD02G0027600". The record is from RNAcentral. Lineage: Eukaryota; Viridiplantae; Streptophyta; Magnoliopsida; Rosales; Rosaceae.
UUUUCUAAGUUCAGAAGCACGAAGAGAACAUCCGUAAAGAAAGAGUAAAGCAAUGGGGAGAGGCUCUUUAUGAAGCUGCAAACUUGUCUGGUCACGAUCUUAAAAACGAGAACAGUGAUCCAGGAAUUCACUAAUAGGCCGAAUGCAAGAUCAUAACAGACGGCUGAAGGAGGCGAAGAGAGAGAGAGAGAGAGAGAUGGAGUUGAUGGCUGAAGGAUGAACAAAGAGCGUGUUUGUGGAGUUGCUGUGUUGGUGUGGACAGCCGCAGCAGUAAUGUUUCUGGUUUAGUUUUCAAAAAGUUCAAAUCAUAUCAUGUAACCAAAUGACUGUUUUCCGUGUAUUGGGCUUCAAAACUGUUUUUGGGCCCUUUUAUGUUUUAUGGUCCAUCUUGUGUUUACUUUGUAUCUGAACCAUUAUGUUUGUAAUGCGUGUCGUUGGUAAUGAAUUUUACAUUUUG